UAGUCAUAUGCUUGUCUCAAAGAUUAAGCCAUGCAUGUCUAAGUACAUACCUUUGCACGGUGAAACCGCGAAUGGCUCAUUAAAUCAGUUAUGGUUCCUUAGAUCGUUCAUAUUACAUGGAUAACUGUGGUAAUUCUAGAGCUAAUACAUGCAAAAAGCUCCGACCGUAUGGGAAGAGCGCUUUUAUUAGACCAAAACCAAUGGGUCGCAAGGUCCUUUAUUUGGUGACUCUGGAUAACUUUGUGCUGAUCGCAUGGCCUCGAGCCGGCGACGUAUCUUUCAAGUGUCUGCCCUAUCAACUUUCGAUGGUAGGCGAUUUGCCUACCAUGGUUGUAACGGGUAACGGGGAACCAGGGUUCGAUUCCGGAGAGGGAGCAUGAGAAAUGGCUACCACAUCUACGGAAGGCAGCAGGCGCGCAAAUUACCCACUCCUAGAUCGGGGAGGUAGUGACGAAAAAUAACAAUACCGGACUCAAUGAGGCUCGGUAAUUGAAAUGAGUACAGUUUAAAACCCUUAACGAGGAUCUAUU
RNAcentral lists this ribosomal RNA (530 nucleotides) under uncultured eukaryote. Its description in RNAcentral is "SSU rRNA". It matches the Rfam family "Eukaryotic small subunit ribosomal RNA", at positions 21 to 549 of the family's 1831-position model. The record is from RNAcentral.